Molecule: ribosomal RNA, 223 nt
Filed under: uncultured bacterium
Lineage: Bacteria
Description: partial 16S ribosomal RNA
Rfam family: Bacterial small subunit ribosomal RNA
Source: RNAcentral
UAACACGUGGAUCAUCUACCUUCUAGUGGGGAAUACCGUUGGGAAACCGACGACAAUACCGCAUAAGCUCGAGAGAGGAAAGCGGCUUUGUGAAAGCAAAGACGCGCUGGAAGAGGAGUCCGCGGCUGAUUAGCUAGUUGGUGAGGUAACGGCCCACCAAGGCAUUGAUCAGUAGCCGGCCUGAGAGGGCACACGGCCACACUGGCACUGAAACACGGGCCAG